UUGAGUUAGGGUCUUCUAGGCCCGACCUCCCAACCCUUUGUUUACCCUAAAAAAAUGUUGCUUUGGCGAGGCCCGUCUUUAUUGACCGCCGGAGGGUCGUCUGUUUACCACGGGCGUCUUCUGGCCAGCGCCUGCCAAGAGGCCAAACCCCUAAACUCUGUCUAAAUCGUGUCAUGAUUGUCUGAGUACAGUGAUUAAAUAAGUACA
This 207-nucleotide unclassified non-coding RNA is filed under the name uncultured fungus. RNAcentral's name for it is "sequence contains ITS1, 5.8S rRNA gene". The record is from RNAcentral. Lineage: Eukaryota; Fungi.